Long non-coding RNA from Crotalus tigris (Tiger rattlesnake), 872 nucleotides. RefSeq lists it as uncharacterized. The transcript is spliced from 5 exons. NCBI's taxonomy places the organism in Eukaryota, Metazoa, Chordata, Lepidosauria, Squamata, Viperidae. The record is from RefSeq and is a predicted model, not a curated record.
CUUAAAGGGAAAUCAAAUACAAGAUAUGGAAAGAUCCAUAUUAUUUCACAAAUUCAGCCCAGCUUAUUACCAAAACCUACAAAGCCGUAGAUAUCAAGCAGAGGUACAGCAUUCUGGCAACUGACUUGGUCAUUUUAGUGAAUGGUACAUCUACAGAUCAUCUUAAUCAAAAUUUGAAAUUUCAUCUCCACAGUCUCUUUUUUACAUUGGCAUGAAAAUAUGGAUUGAAUGGGGCACAGAUAUUAACUGAAAGGAAUAUUUCAGAUAACCUCUUUCAAGUGCCGUUUUAGCAAGAUGAGUGUCACGCUUUCCAAGCCUGUUUCUAGUGGAAUGUGAAUAUUUGUCCUCAGAGAUAUUUACUUUAACCAGUUUAGUGGACAGCAGAUCACAGUGCCUACCCACAUCAGCCCUGUCACCCUAAAGGCAAUGGAAGGUGAAAGUGGGGUUGAUCCUAUCAUUCCAUUAUUUCACUGUUGAACAGGUGAAAUGGAGUCCAUUUUCAAACUCUGUUUUGUUCUGACUAGCUCCCACAUCAAAUUUGGUCCCAUUCUAUUUUUGGAGAGAUAUCCUGAUGACACACAGACAUAGCUCUUAUCCCUUCUCUACCUUAUCCUUUUUUAAGUUUGGUGACAUCUCUGGUUGAGCCUGCCAAGUAAAAACAGAUUGGGACUACAAGAAAAGAUCUUCCAGAUCCCAUAGCAUGUGAUAAAUUUAAAAUUUUACAACCAUACUUGCUGUAUAUAUAACAAUCUAAUCCAGUAAUACAAUAUAAUGUGAAAUUAAUUUUUGUUGGUUCCUCCUGUCUAAGAAGUGGAAAACAAUGGGGAGAAUUUAGAAAAAAAUAUAGUGCUGCUUUUUAAAAAAUCUUUCAA